Molecule: ribosomal RNA, 755 nt
Filed under: uncultured bacterium
Lineage: Bacteria
Description: bacterial SSU rRNA
Rfam family: Bacterial small subunit ribosomal RNA
Source: RNAcentral
AGUCGAACGGAAGUCGUUAUAAAAAGGAUUGAGGAUUUAUCCGAUUGAGAUUUUAUAACAAUGGCCUUAGUGGCGGACUGGUGAGUAACGCGUGAGCAACCUGCCUACUAGAGGGGAAUAACAGUGAGAAGUCACUGCUAAUACCGCAUAUGCCAUGAACAUCACAUGAUGAAAAUGGGAAAAGAGUAAUCUGCUAGUAGAUGGGCUCGCGUCUGAUUAGAUAGUUGGUGGGGUAACGGCCUACCAAGUCGACGAUCAGUAGCCGGACUGAGAGGUUGAACGGCCACAUUGGGACUGAGAUACGGCCCAGACUCCUACGGGAGGCAGCAGUCGGGAAUAUUGCGCAAUGGAGGAAACUCUGACGCAGUGACGCCGCGUAUAGGAAGAAGGUUUUCGGAUUGUAAACUAUUGUCGUUAGGGAAGAUAAAAGACAGUACCUAAGGAGGAAGCUCCGGCUAACUACGUGCCAGCAGCCGCGGUAAUACGUAGGGAGCAAGCGUUAUCCGGAUUUAUUGGGUGUAAAGGGUGCGUAGACGGGUUAGCAAGUUAGUUGUGAAAGCCCUCGGCUUAACUGAGGAACUGCAACUAAAACUGUUAAUCUUGAGUGUUGGAGAGGAAAGUGGAAUUCCUAGUGUAGCGGUGAAAUGCGUAGAUAUUAGGAGGAACACCGGUGGCGAAGGCGACUUUCUGGACAAUAACUGACGUUGAGGCACGAAAGUGUGGGGAGCAAACAGGAUUAGAUACCCUGGUAGUCC